AUGCUGAUGGAUUGCCCUGAACCGGUUGCAAGGAAAAUGUUCACUGGUUUCCUAGUUUCAGCAGCAGUUAAAAUCCAGGACAUCAAUCUUGAUACUAAGAGAUGGGAUGGGCUGCAUGCUCACCUUGAAUUGCCGUCACGAUCAAGAUUGUUAAGAAGAAAAAAUGUUCAGGAUCUAGAGCUUUGGUGGCUGCUAUCAAUUCACUUCAGGUUCUCUAUGCCUCCUUCCAUUCUAUACUUGGUAUGGAUGCAGGCGGAUGCGUCUGCAUUGGGGCCGGAAAUGUAUUACUACUUUAAAGCUUGUGCUAUAAUUAGAGCGAAGUGUUGUUACUUAAAGUUCGUGCUAGCUUUACUUAAAAUUCCUAAUAUUUGGUCACCUCUUGAAAGAGAGAACGGUCCAGUAGAGUAG
This 408-nucleotide ribosomal RNA is filed under the name Triticum aestivum (bread wheat). RNAcentral describes it as "partial small subunit ribosomal RNA". Lineage: Eukaryota; Viridiplantae; Streptophyta; Magnoliopsida; Poales; Poaceae. The record is from RNAcentral.